CCAAUAGCGUAUAUUAAGGUUGCUGCGGUUAAAAAGCUCGUAGUUGAAUUUUGGGACUGAUACAUCGGUCGUGCCUUAAGGGGUAUGAACUGGCGUAGCCAAUUCCUCACCUUCUGGUGAAUUGUGAUGCCUCCUUAACCGGGUGUUUCAAUGAACUAGGACUUUUACUUUGAAAAAAUUAGAGUGUUUAAAGCAGGCAUUAUUGCUUGAAUACAUUAGCAUGGAAUAAUAAAAUAGGACGAUGAUUCUAUUUUGUUGGUUUCUAGGAUCACCAUAAUGAUUAAUAGGGACAGUUGGGGACAUUAGUAUUCAAUUGUCAGAGGUGAAAUUCUUGGACUAAUUGAAGACUAACUACUGCGAAAGCAUUUGCCAAGGAUGUUUUCAUUAAUCAAGAACGAAAGUUAGGGGAUCGAAGACGAUUAGGUACGUCGUAGUCCUAACCAUAAACUAUGCCGACUAGGUAUCAGACAACGUUAAAUUUUUAAUGACUCGUUUGGCACCUUAUGGGAAACAAAGUGUUUGGGUUC
This 527-nucleotide ribosomal RNA is filed under the name uncultured Entrophospora. RNAcentral describes it as "bacterial SSU rRNA". It matches the Rfam family "Eukaryotic small subunit ribosomal RNA", at positions 591 to 1114 of the family's 1831-position model. Lineage: Eukaryota; Fungi; Glomeromycota; Glomeromycetes; Entrophosporales; Entrophosporaceae. The record is from RNAcentral.